CUUUUAUGCAGAUACGUCAAUCCUUUUAAGUGUGACCAGUUCCAUUUGCCCUGGUGUCACAUACUUGGGUGAUAUAAGAAUGGAAACUUGUCAGCCAUUAAAGAGCCUUUAACCCAAAA
Molecule: long non-coding RNA, 119 nt
Organism: Gigantopelta aegis
Lineage: Eukaryota; Metazoa; Mollusca; Gastropoda; Neomphalida; Peltospiridae
Exons: 2
Source: RefSeq, a predicted model, not a curated record